RNAcentral lists this transfer RNA (64 nucleotides) under Neochauliodes bachmanus. Its description in RNAcentral is "tRNA-Cys". Lineage: Eukaryota; Metazoa; Arthropoda; Insecta; Megaloptera; Corydalidae. The record is from RNAcentral.
GGUCUUAUAGUCAAAAAAAUGAUUUUAAAUUGCAAAUUUAAAGGUAAAGUAAGUUUUAAGGCUU